Mycena galopus ATCC 62051 is the source of this 93-nucleotide non-coding RNA. The record is from the annotation of a GenBank genome assembly. NCBI's taxonomy places the organism in Eukaryota, Fungi, Basidiomycota, Agaricomycetes, Agaricales, Mycenaceae.
UCUCGACUAGUAUAUCGGUUGAGUACACGCGCCUGUCAUUCGGAUGUACUCCUAUGGUCGCGCGAAAGCUGGGUUCGACUCCCAGGUCGAGAG